GAGUUCAUGCCCGUAAAGGGUAGACCUCCCACCCGUGUAUAUGUCUACUUUGUUGCUUUGGCGGGCCGCCGCAAGGCCCCGGCCGCUCCCGGCCGGGCCGCGCCCGCCAGAGGACCCCCAAACUCGAACUGUGAGUGUCGUCUGAGUACUAUCUAAUAGUUAAAACUUUCAACAACGGAUCUCUUGGUUCU
RNAcentral lists this unclassified non-coding RNA (191 nucleotides) under rhizosphere metagenome. Its description in RNAcentral is "partial ribosomal RNA internal transcribed spacer region". The record is from RNAcentral.